GGUGAACGCUGGCGGCGUGCCUAACACAUGCAAGUCGAGCGGUGCAGUUUGAAGCUUCGGUGGAAAGCUGCAUAGCGGCGGACGGGUGAGGAAAACGUAGGAACGUGCCCCUUGGGAGUUGGAUAGCCACGGGAAACUGUGGGUAAACCGACAUAGACUCGAGAGAGUAAAGGCCGAAAGGCGCCAAGGGAGCGGCCUGCGGCCCAUCAGGUAGUUGGUAGUGUAAAGGACUACCAAGCCGACGACGGGUAGCCGGUCUGAGAGGAUGGCCGGCCACAUCGGGACUGAGACACUGCCCGGACACCUACGGGUGGCUGCAGCAACGAAUAUUCCGCAAUGGGCGCAAGCCUGACGGAGCGACGCCGCGUGGAGGAUGAAGUCCUUCGGGAUGUAAACUCCAAUAGUUUGCCAGGAAGCAACCUGGCCUAAUACGUCGGGAAGUUGACCAGCAGACGAAAGGGGCGGCUAACUCCGUG
Molecule: ribosomal RNA, 476 nt
Filed under: uncultured bacterium
Lineage: Bacteria
Description: bacterial SSU rRNA
Rfam family: Bacterial small subunit ribosomal RNA
Source: RNAcentral